CCGGGAGUAGCUCAACGGUAGAGCCACGCGCUUUGAACGCGGAGGUUGCAGGUUCGAGCCCUGCCUCCCGAA
This 72-nucleotide transfer RNA is filed under the name Myxococcales bacterium. Its description in RNAcentral is "tRNA-Gln". It matches the Rfam family "tRNA". Rfam says of the family: Transfer RNA (tRNA) molecules are approximately 80 nucleotides in length. Their secondary structure includes four short double-helical elements and three loops (D, anti-codon, and T loops). Further hydrogen bonds mediate the characteristic L-shaped molecular structure. tRNAs have two regions of fundamental functional importance: the anti-codon, which is responsible for specific mRNA codon recognition, and the 3' end, to which the tRNAs corresponding amino acid is attached (by aminoacyl-tRNA synthetases). tRNAs cope with the degeneracy of the genetic code in two manners: having more than one tRNA (with a specific anti-codon) for a particular amino acid; and 'wobble' base-pairing, i.e. permitting non-standard base-pairing at the 3rd anti-codon position. Lineage: Bacteria; Pseudomonadati; Myxococcota; Myxococcia; Myxococcales. The record is from RNAcentral.